Long non-coding RNA from Columba livia (rock pigeon), 1397 nucleotides. RefSeq lists it as uncharacterized. Lineage: Eukaryota; Metazoa; Chordata; Aves; Columbiformes; Columbidae. The transcript is spliced from 5 exons. The record is from RefSeq and is a predicted model, not a curated record.
CGGAGCGGCUCACCUGCCCCACCGCGGGGGUCGUCUCCUGCUUACUGUAGCGAUUCUCGCUGUGGAUCCCGUCGAUGCGUCCGUCGGGCAGGACCUGGAUGUGGAAACCGAUGCCCACGUUGCAGUAGAGACGCCGCAAGCGUUUGAUGCCCAGGAGCUGGUCUAUUUGAUCUCUGUGUGCCUGGGCUGUUUGCUGUUGUGAGCGUCUUGCCAUGAUCAAAACCUUAUUAUCUCGAGUGAUGUCGCAGUGUUAUAUAUUGGAAAAGGGCAGUGGAGUAUAGCAGCAGGCAGCAACAAUGCUGGGAAAACAACAAAGGCACCAAUAACCUCUCUCCAGUGUAUUUGGACUGAAUCAGUGGGAGGACUGGGUGUCAUUUUGCUUGUGAUGGGUAUGGACUUUUUCAACAGCUGCCCCCUCUGCUUCUUGUACAUCUCUGUAUAAAGCAGAGGUCAGAGAAGACAUGACUACAUCCACCUGUGGAGCUUCGGGGGUUUAGAUGUCGCAGUUCAUGCUUCCAGCUUGUGACUCUGCUGCUCAUAUACACCCACUGCUGCAGAGAUGGGCACCAAGGAGCUCCAACUGGAAGAUCAAAUCACAGACAUUUGUUUUUCUGUGAACUACAUUCAACGUCUUAGCAGCCUUUUUCUCAGCUGCUGAGCUUUAUUAGUUUAUUGCUUUUGAGCUGCAACAUUGCUGUUCCUGCAACAUCAGCUCAAAGGUGUGAGGUGGUGGUGUGGUGAUAGUGACCCUCUGGGAGACCCGAGGCCAUUCGCCAAGCAACCUGAUGUGGUCAUCACAGACUAUUUCAUUGUUUUGCUGGUCCUUGUCAGUGACUGACAUAUGAACAGCUCUCAGAUUAUGGCACACAUACUUUUGCUGACAUAUUGCUUGACACUCUGCCAAACAAAACUGGUAAAAGGAAACAUAAUAGAAAAUGAGUUUUGAGAAUCAGGAUGAGGAAAAUUCCCUGCCAGAUUGUCACUCUCAAGAGAUCUACAAACUAUUGGCCUGUCUUCCAGCUUGCUGUAAUCACAUCUGAAUACCAGGGACAAGUCCUUCCGCAGCUUUGAAAAGCAUCAGGAAUACCUGACGCUGUCCAGUGGGUGACACCUUUGUUGUCAGCGCAGCCAGAAGGAUGCGAUGCUUUGGGACGUCUGGCCCUGUGUCACACCAAGGAUCCAAGGAGCAGUGACAUCUGUGGGGCCACUGCACUCUCCUCAGUGGCUUUCAGUCUUGAUCCUUGCAGCUGGGUUUGGCAGCGCUGUUGAUCAAUCUUUUAAAUGUCCCAGUGUAAUUACCAAUGCUCUUUUCAACAGUUUUCCACUCUCCCUUCUAGACUCUCACCUAAAGCCCUCAGUUUUCCUGUCUCCCUCUUCAAUAAAAUAAACUUUUGAGA